UUCCUGUCAGCCUCUAUUGGGGUGGUGGGUGGGGAGGAGCAGCCAUGGAAACCCUGAUCCUUCUAGUCAUAGUCUGGCUCCCUGGGGCUGUGAGAGGUGUCCCCAAAGAGAAGCCUCCAAUUGACAAACCUCUGCUCCACCCCACCCCACAUACACAGAGGAUGGCCCAAGCCCAGGUCCCUGGCAUGGUGGGGCAGGGGCCUGAGUCACAGCCUGGCGUGACCCUGCCCAGUCCCCAGGAAUGGCCAGCUCGUCCAGAGGUGAGACCCAGGUCAACAAUCCAUCAGUCUGCCUCCUGCCACCAGCUGGGCAGAGCUAGUGUUGGGCCUGUGCCUGGGGGCCACCAAGGGGGCCCGGAGAAAAGAAUGGAGGGGUUUUCACUUCCUGAGCAGCAGGAGGAGCCAGCUGGGGUUAAAGACAGGAGGGACUGGUUGGGCCUACAGGCAUUUGGAGUCUCUCCCUGCCUGCUGGGUGAGGGAGGCAGCAGGUGCCAAGAACUGCUAGCUUCUAGGACCUGACCCUCAAGUUGCUUCUCCUGCUGAGGGGCUUCUAGGGUCACCCUCAGGGCCUUGACAUCUGCACACAUCUGCACAGGCCCUUCACCAGGGACUUAACCUCCAAAGGCAGCUCCUGCUCCCAGCCUUCACAGGCCCCCCUAGGGCCCAAGUCCCCAGACCCAACCUCAGUCUGCAAGCUGGCCAAGUCAGAGGUCCUGGCUGCCUGGACCACUCCCAAGCAGUAAAUGGCACUGUGGGCUUCCUCCAUCCUGUCUUCCCCGCCCCACUUCAUUGAUUCACUGACUUCCAACUUACUGGUCAGGCCCCCUUCCAGACCCUGCCUGGAUGAAGAGGACUCCCAGAAGCAGUGAUUGAAGGCCUAGGAGGAUACAGAGAGCCAGGUGCUUUAAUUGGAGUACUCAACAAUCUUUUUUAUUGCUAAGGGCACAUGAUCAAAAAAACUUCGGAGGUCACUGGCCUAGACUUCAGGUGGGGCAGCUGUGGGCAGGGGAUGGCUUGUCUUGUCCAUCUAAGUAUCCAGCCUGACACAUGACUAGUUCAGAGCCUGGCAGGGAGCAGAGGUCAGGGACACAGUAUUGAAUGAAUGAAGUCCACCCCUAGAACUGACAGAUGAGGAAACUGAAAUAAUUCUGGGGCGGGGAGAUUGCUCAGAGGAGGACAUGGGCAGGUUGAGAGAGUCUCCCCUCAUUGCUGCUAUGUCUGCAGCCUGCCCGUGUCCAACACCCAGCACCCACACAAACCUUACUUCUACCCACCCCAGGGAGCACAGCUCCCUCCUCUGCCUACCAGCAGAGUGGCCACCUGUCUUGAGCUUCUUACUGGAUCCUGAUUAGCAGAGCCAGACAGGGUUGUCACCUGCCAUAUCCCUCUACGUGGCAGAAAGUCUGUUGCCAGCUUUGUAUCCUAGAACUCUCUGGAAGUCAAUCUGGUGUAGGAGAAAGAAUUUAGGCUCCAGACAGGCGUCAGUCCUCAUCCAGCUUGGUGACCUUGGGCACAACACAUAACUGGUAUAAGCCUCAGUUUCCCAAUCUGUAUCUUGGGACCAAUAUUUGUACUUACUGGGAGGAAAUAUUCCAAGAGAUGAAAACUAGCCAAGACCACGCAGCACCAGAACCACUCCCAGAAGCCCCGGCUUCCCCAGAGACUGCUUCAGUGAGCCGGCAAAAACUGAAGCCUGCAGCCUCAGGAGUUCCCACACACACCUAGGCCAGAAUCCCUCUGCCCCGCAGCAGGACACCCCUCCCUCUUGCCCUCCAGGGUCAUGGGCUAGACAUGGCAAGGUAAGCAGAAGGCAGAUGCAUACUAGUCCACACAAGCUUGUGACGGCUGGGACUAGGGGCCAACCUAGUGGCUCCCACGUUGAGAAUCAACGCCAAUUCCAGGAAGCCUUCCCGGCUAACCCCCAAAAAGCUGGCAAUACUUCCCUCCCACAACACAGCCUUGGCUCUCGAAGGCUGUCCUCUCCCCCAGCCUCACUCUGACUCAUCAUGUAGGUCCCGCAUGGGCCUCAGUUCUCCUGGCCAUGGGCUCUCCCCAUACCUUAACCUGGGAACCGUUGUGGGCAGGACCAUGUGGGACAAAAAGGUCCUGUGCCCAACCCAGCACCAAUCACAGGGAGGCCUGGGGAUAAGCAGGGGCUCUUGGAAAGGGGGCAGAACUCAGCUCAAGUCACAGAACCUGGGAAGGACCUUCAGUGGAAAGCCGCUUCAAAUGUCAUCUGGGAUGAGCAUGGUGGCUCACACCUGUCGUCUCAACACUUUGGUGAAACUGAGGCUGGAGGAUUGCUCAAGGCCAGGAGUCGAAGACCAGCCUGGGCAACAUAGCAAAACCUUGUCUCUCUGUGUAUUUUUUUAAUAUUAAAAAAAAAAAAUUUAAGGUCAUCAUAAGAAACAGCUGCAGAGCAGCCAGAGGACAGCAACCCUACCCCAGAAAUGGACAUGAGAGAUAAACAGACAAUUAAACAAUUGAGGCCAGGAGUUCGAGACCAGACUGGGCAACAUAGUGAGAAUCUGCCUCUUUAAAAAAAUGUUAAAAUUAGCUGGGCAAGGUAGGGUAGUGUGUGCCUAUAGUCCUAACUACUGAGGAGACUGAGGUGGGAGGAUCACUUGAGCAGAAGUUGAAGGCUACAGUGAGCUAUGAUCACACCAUAGCACUCCAGCCUGGGUGACAGAGUGAGAUCCUGUCUCAAAAAAGGAUAGAUUUCCAGGCACUUCCCAUCAUGCUCCAGUAGCAGAGGGCAGUGCUGAGAGACCACCUAGAAGGGAAGGCACCCAGGGGCCAGGAGGGUCCAUGAAAAUGGAAAAGGGCUGGAGGGGACCUGCCACCUUCCAUAAAUGUCAUCCCAGCCUCUGAAAGAUCACAGUUCCCCAGGAAGUCCAGGACAGUGGAGGCAGAGUGGGCAGAGGGGACUGCCAGGCCGUGGGAGCAGCUCUAACUUACGCGUUGGUCAGAGCCGGGAGGUCCUUUGAGUGGCCAGCCUCCCUACCAGCUGAGUCUCCUAAAUAAAUAAAACAUUUUAAAAUGGUUAAAAUGGCAACUUUUAUGUGUACUCUGCCAGAAUUCUCUUAAGUUAAAAAAAAAUGUGAGUUUUGAACCUCCCCUCCAAGGGCCUGGGAGCUGCCAACACAGAGUCAGCCACAGUGUUUCCAGAUGGACAGAACGAAUCAAAAAGAUGUCUGCCAGACACUAUGCCAACAGGAAGAUGGGACUCAAGUUGUUUUUAAAAUUUUUUGUGCCUUGGCCUGCUGGAGAAAUAAAAGCUCUGAACUUGAGUUCACAUAGGCCUGAAUGUAAAUGCUGGUUCCAACACUGGCUGUGUGACCUUGGGCAAAUCACUGAGUCUUUCUGGGCCUCAGUUUUCUCAUCUGUAAAAUGGAGAUAAGCAGCAGCUCUUUGUUAACUCAUGAAAAAGCCCUAAGUGUAGUGCAGGAACACAGUAAGGACCAGCAAGGGUUGGUUUCUUUCCUCCCUCUCCUUUCCCCACACAUGUCCUUGACAUUUAUCCCAGCCAGAUUUCACCUGUACAGACACCCUCCCGGGAGGUUGUACACAGAGCAACACUUGUCGAGGUUCUCUGAUGGACCCUGCCCAUGGGAUGUUUACACUUUCAAAGAGAAAACGAGUUAAUCCACAGGAAGCCUAAGUGAUAGAGGGGACUGAAGAAAAUGUCAGCAUAAGAAUGCUGUUCGGCCUUUCUUUCAAUUUUUGGUAUUAAAAUAUUCAUUUUUUAGGAUACAAUAGUAGGAAACUAAUUUUUUACCUAUCCUGUGUCCUUACUUGACAAAAUAAGAUGCCACGAACCUUUAUGCCAGUUCCCAAAAUGACUUUUUGAAUUUUUAUUGAUAAAUCCUCAAAUCUGAGAGCACAACACUGUGCUCCCUAACCCUAAUCUCCCUCUCCCAGCAGGGAGUGAAUCCUGCUUCAUUUGCUCAGUGAGCACAAGGAAGGCACGGGCCCUGGGGUCCAUCCCUGCCAGGCCACUCCUUCCAGCCCUCUCUGUCAUUCCCACAGCAGCAGACAGGCAACAGCAUUCCCUCUUCCCAGCAUCGCUGAUGCCAGGCUGGGUACCACAACCUCUGCAUACCAACGGACUGGUCCCUACAUCCUGAUGCCAGAGGAGGUGGGUAACAUUGAGCCAUCACACUCACUCAAUUACCAGACCCCUGGGUCAGCUUAAGAAGGGAUGGAGUCCGGGCGCAGUGGCUCACACCUAUAACCCCAGCACUUUGGGAGGCCAAGGAGGGU
This 4262-nucleotide long non-coding RNA is filed under the name Homo sapiens (human). Its description in RNAcentral is "non-protein coding lnc-TMEM63B-3:1". The record is from RNAcentral. Lineage: Eukaryota; Metazoa; Chordata; Mammalia; Primates; Hominidae.